UCCCGAGCGUUNUCCGGAUUUAUUGGGCGUAAAGCGAGCGCAGGCGGUUAGAUAAGUNUGAAGUUAAAGGCUGUGGCUUANCCAUAGUACGCUUUGGAAACUGUUUAACUUGAGUGCAAAAGGGGAGAGUGGAAUUCCAUGUGUAGCGGUGAAAUGCGUAGAUAUAUGGAGGAACACCGGUGGCGAAAGCGGCUCUCUGGUCUGUAACUGACGCUGAGGCUCGAAAGCGUGGGGAGCGAACAGGAUUAGAUACCCUGGUAGUNCACGCCGUAAACGAUGAGUGCUAGGUGUUAGGCCCUUUCCGGGGCUUAGUGCCGCAGCUAACGCAUUAAGCACUCCGCCUGGGGAGUACGACCGCAAGGUUGAAACUCAAAGGAAAUGACGGGGGCCCGCACAAGCGGUGGAGCAUGUGGUUUAAUUCGAAGCAACGCGAAGAACCUUACCAGGUCUUGACAUCCCGAUGCCCGCUCUAGAGAUAGAGUUUUACUUCGGUACAUCGGUGACAGGUGGUGCAUGGUUGUCGUCAGCUCGUGUCGUGAGAUGUUGGGUUAAGUCCCGCAACGAGCGCAACCCUUAUUGUUAGUUGCCAUCAUUCAGUUGGGCACUCUAGCGAGACUGCCGGUAAUAAACCGGAGGAAGGUGGGGAUGACGUCAAAUCAUCAUGCCCCUUAUGACCUGGGCUACACACGUGCUACAAUGGCUGGUACAACGAGUCGCAAGUCGGUGACGGCAAGCUAAUCUCUUAAAGCCAGUCUCAGUUCGGAUUGUAGGCUGCAACUCGCCUACAUGAAGUCGGAAUCGCUAGUAAUCGCGGAUCAGCACGCCGCGGUGAAUACGUUCCCGGGCCUUGUACACACCGCCCGUCACACCACGAGAGUUUGUAACACCCGAAGUCGGUGAGGUAACCUUUUAG
This 913-nucleotide ribosomal RNA is filed under the name uncultured bacterium. RNAcentral's name for it is "bacterial SSU rRNA". It matches the Rfam family "Bacterial small subunit ribosomal RNA", at positions 532 to 1446 of the family's 1533-position model. The record is from RNAcentral.